GUAGGGUCCGAGCGUUGUCCGGAAUUAUUGGGCGUAAAGGGCUCGUAGGCGGUCUGUCGCGUCGGGAGUGAAAACUCAGGGCUCAACCCUGAGCGUGCUUCCGAUACGGGCAGACUAGAGGUAUGCAGGGGAGAACGGAAUUCCUGGUGUAGCGGUGGAAUGCGCAGAUAUCAGGAGGAACACCGGUGGCGAAGGCGGUUCUCUGGGCAUGACCUGACGCUGAGGAGCGAAAGCAUGGGGAGCGAACAGGAUUAGAUACCCUGGUAGUCCAUGCCGUAAACGUUGGGCGCUAGGUGUGGGGACCUUCCACGGUUUCCGUGCCGCAGCUAACGCAUUAAGCGCCCCGCCUGGGGAGUACGGCCGCAAGGCUAAA
RNAcentral lists this ribosomal RNA (373 nucleotides) under uncultured bacterium. RNAcentral's name for it is "bacterial SSU rRNA". It matches the Rfam family "Bacterial small subunit ribosomal RNA", at positions 527 to 898 of the family's 1533-position model. The record is from RNAcentral.